GAGAUAUAAACUUUAUAAAUACCUAGAUUUCAUCGAUUUCUCUCAUUCUCUCAUCAUUGUUCAGACAAAGAAGAUGAGUGGUGUUAACAUAGUUUCUGAAGAUGGAAAGAAAGAACCGAACAAGAUGAGAAAGGCGAUGGAAAAACUCAAAUCUGUAUUCCAUAAGAAAGAACCUAAUCAUCACAACGAAGACUCAAGUGAGACUUCGCCAUAUUUAGCCGAGGACCAAGCAUAUAGUCUGUUCAAAAUCCAGCAAAAGUUAAAUCAGAGAAAGUUUAUCCUUCAAAAAUACAAUGAUAUUCUUGAAAGGCCAAGAUGAGCAGAUGAACAACCUAAUGGUGAAGAGCAAAGAUAUGAACAGAAAGACAUUUCUUUUGCAUACGGUUGAGAAGGAAACAAAUUGAACGAAUUCAGGAUGUACACGAGCUUGAAUAUAUGUUUAUGCUUUGCGAUAUCAAG
This is a long non-coding RNA of Camelina sativa (false flax), 459 nucleotides long. RefSeq lists it as uncharacterized. The record is from RefSeq and is a predicted model, not a curated record. NCBI's taxonomy places the organism in Eukaryota, Viridiplantae, Streptophyta, Magnoliopsida, Brassicales, Brassicaceae.